GAUGAACGCUGGCGGCGUGCCUAAUACAUGCAAGUCGAGCGAACAGACGAGGAGCUUGCUCCUCUGACGUUAGCGGCGGACGGGUGCGUAACACGUGGAUAACCUACCUAUAAGACUGGGAUAACUUCGGGAAACCGGAGCUAAUACCGGAUAAUAUAUUGAACCGCAUGGUUCAAUAGUGAAAGACGGUUUUGCUGUCACCUAUAGAUGGAUCCGCGCCGCAUUAGCUAGUUGGUAAGGUAACGGCUUACCAAGGCAACGAUGCGUAGCCGACCUGAGAGGGUGAUCAGCCACACUGGAACUGAGACACGGUCCAGACUCCUACGGGAGGCAGCAGUAGGGAAUCUUCCGCAAUGGGCGAAAGCCUGACGGAGCAACGCCGCGUGAGUGAUGAAGGUCUUCGGAUCGUAGAACUCUGUUAUUAGGGAAGAACAAAUGUGUAAGUAACUAUGCACGUCUUGACGGUACCUAAUCAGAAAGCCACGGCUAACUACGUG
Molecule: ribosomal RNA, 497 nt
Filed under: uncultured bacterium
Lineage: Bacteria
Description: partial 16S ribosomal RNA
Rfam family: Bacterial small subunit ribosomal RNA
Source: RNAcentral